RNAcentral lists this long non-coding RNA (558 nucleotides) under Trifolium pratense (red clover). Its description in RNAcentral is "long non-coding RNA (TPRA_LNC007938)". Lineage: Eukaryota; Viridiplantae; Streptophyta; Magnoliopsida; Fabales; Fabaceae. The record is from RNAcentral.
AUAUAUUUAAUAAAAAUUACAGUAAUAAUAUAUAACAAUUAUGUAAAAAAAAAUUGAAUGGGACUAUAUAUAUAAAACUAAAUUAAAAAUUAUACUUGGCUUGCACCAAUACAUACACCAUUUUCCAAUCAGCAACAUAUCAUUCUUCAUAACACUGGUAACAAUUGAAAAACAUGAAAUUGCAAUGAAUAUUAGUGUUAAUGGUGAGGUUGUCCAUAAAAUCAUAUGUCUUCAUCUAUGUGUUCAUAUAUAAAAACAACAAAUAUGUAAACUUAAAAACACAAUAGAUAAAAAGUUGGUAAAAGGUGAUCUACUUACUUGUUGACAUUGUUUUGAGUGUAGCUGAUAAGUUAGGAAAUUAUUCAAGGGAUUGACAAAACUCACCUAAGUUCUCCUUCAAAUCUUCCUCACAUUCCGAACAUGAGCAAUCAGUCAUGUUUUCCCUUCAUGACAUUAAAGAAUAAAUGAAUAUAAAAGUAACAAAAGAACAAAAUAAUGUACAAUAAUUAAUUGCAAUGAAUAUUAGUGUUAAUAGUGAGGUUGUCCAUAAAACCAUAU